UGAAUACGAGACGCUAAGGCGUCGAAGUAGUGUAUGUCAUACUUCCAAGAAAAGCUUGCACUGUCAUAGAUAAAAAACGCCUGUACCAUAACCGACACAGGUGGGUAGGUAGAGUAUACUAAGGGGCGCGAGAUAACUCUCUCUAAGGAACUCGGCAAAAUGACUCCGUAACUUCGGGAGAAGGAGUGCCUUAUUCUUAAGGUUGCAAUAACAAGAUCCAAGCAACUGUUUAUCAAAAACACAGGUCUCCGCUAAGUCGUAAGACGAUGUAUGGGGGCUGACGCCUGCCCAGUGCCAGAAGGUUAAAGAAGUUGGUUAGCAUUUGCGAAGCUGAUAACUGAAGCCCUGGUGAACGGCGGCCGUAACAAUAACGGUCCUAAGGUAGCGAAAUUCCUUGUCGGGUAAGUUCCGACCCGCACGAAAGGCGUAAUGAUUUGGAUACUGUCUCGGAGAGGGGCUCGGUGAAAUAGACUUGUCUGUGAAGAUGCGGACUACCUGCACCAGGACAGAAAGACCCUAUGAAGCUUUACUGUAACUUGAAAUUGAAAUUGGACUUUAUUCGCGCAGUAUAGGUGGGAGGCGUUGAUUAUAAUCUUGCGGGAUUAUUGGAGCCAUCAGUGAGAUACCACCCUUGUAAUGUUAGAUUUCUAACUUUGAAUCAUUAUCUGGUCAAAGAACAGUUUCAGGCGGGCAGUUUGACUGGGGCGGUCGCCUCCUAAACGGUAACGGAGGCGUACAAAGGUUUCCUCUGAACGGUUAGAAAUCGUAUCUAGAGUGUAAAGGCAUAAGGAAGCUUGACUGUGAGACCUACAAGUCGAGCAGGGACGAAAGUCGGUCUUAGUGAUCUGACGGUACUGAGUGGAAAGGCCGUCACUCAACGGAUAAAAGUUACUCUAAGGAUAACAGGCUGAUCUCCCCCAAGAGUUCACAUCGACGGGGAGGUUUGGCACCUCGAUGUCGGCUCAUCGCAUCCUGGGGCGGUAGUACGUCCCAAGGGUUGGGCUGUUCGCCCAUGAAAGCGGUACGCGAGCUGGGUUCAGAACGUCGUGAGACAGUUCGGUCCAUAUCCGGUGUAGGCGUUAGAAUAUUGAGAGGAGCCUUCUUUAGUACGAGAGGACCGAGAAGGACAUACCUCUGGUGUACCUGUUAUCGUGCCAACGGUAAACGCUGGGUAGCUAUGUAUGGAGUGGAUAACCGCUGAAAGCAUCUAAGUGGGAAGCCCACCUCAAGAUAAGUAUUCUCAU
RNAcentral lists this ribosomal RNA (1244 nucleotides) under metagenome. Its description in RNAcentral is "bacterial LSU rRNA". It matches the Rfam family "Bacterial large subunit ribosomal RNA", at positions 1564 to 2817 of the family's 2925-position model. The record is from RNAcentral.